Molecule: long non-coding RNA, 1119 nt
Filed under: Homo sapiens (human)
Lineage: Eukaryota; Metazoa; Chordata; Mammalia; Primates; Hominidae
Description: HSALNT0137326
Source: RNAcentral
CUCUGGUAGUUUUGCUUCAAUGGCUAGUAAGACCUUUGGGUCAUUACAGCUCUUCACAGCUUGAUGUGCCUGCACUUCAGAGCCCCAUAUAUUUGACUGUAAAAGUAUCAUUUCAAGUUCACAUAAAUCCAUCAGCUUUUUCCAGGCACUGGCCAAGCUCACAUUUAAUGGAACGACCUAUUCAGGUUACAGCAGUAGUGAUGAUCGAAGCAGACAAAUAAAAGACCAGUUGAAGAACAGCCAAAACCUGUCUCUGCUCACGUUGCUCUCAAGGUUGCCACGUCCACCUGACGUGCAUCUGCAUCCUGCUGCCCUGAGAUGUUGCUAAGUGACCAGCAACCAGGCUCAAAAGCUACAACGCCUGCUGCUGCAGUGCAAAAAUAAACAGUUCAGAACGCCAGUUUGGAACCAGUAUCAGGAAGCAGUUGGAUUUUCUGAUGCAAAGGGGAUUUUUGCUUCUGCCUGAGAACAGCCGAGAUUAUGUCAUAAGAAAGGGGCAGAAGAAGCAUCACCAACUCUAAGGAACCAAAGUCUCUCCAGCCACCAAAAUGAAUGCAGCUGCCACUUAGGGGAAGUGGACAAGGACAGAACCACCCAGAGAUGAUGGUGAGAAAAGGCAGAAGGCCUGGGAGCUGGAAAAUGACUCCAUGGAGUAAAAGAUCACAGCAUCCUUUGGGACAAGACCGAUGUUCAUGACAAGAAUGAAAACUAAUGCUGCAGCAAUGGAGAUUGUGAAAAUACAAAUUUAAAAAUGCAUACCUAAAGGAAAAUCAAGAAAAAAAGGAAAAUUAAGCAUUAAAUGGAACUCUGAGUAGUUACUAAAAGUAAGAAAAGGCAAAACAAAAUACCACCAGACUCUCUCCAUUACUACUUCCAACUACUGUUUCCCUAUUGACACAUAAUCUCUCAUCUGGAGUUCUGUUUGUGUUAUAAUAAUGAAUCCAAAACAUAAGCAGUUUAUUUCUCAAUAGCUAUAUUAACAAAGGUGUAUUUAUUAAUCAUUUGUAAUAAAAAUGAAUGUACACCAAGUGGUAGUAUUUUAGAGCUUAUUCUCAAUUAUAAAAAUAAUUAAGUUGCCUUAUAAAUGAAAUGUAGAAAAAAUAUUUUAAAAGAGUAUUU